This 1925-nucleotide long non-coding RNA is filed under the name Equus caballus (horse). RNAcentral describes it as "lncRNA (ENSECAG00000053885.1)". Lineage: Eukaryota; Metazoa; Chordata; Mammalia; Perissodactyla; Equidae. The record is from RNAcentral.
GGAAAGAGUCUCUGGAGACUACAGCCUGUGGGGCGCUGGGGCAGAGGGUCAGCCUUUGGCCAUUCACAGAGUCCUCAGUGAGCUCCCAGUGGGGCUUUGCAGCUGCUUUGCCUAGAAGGGCCAGGCCCUGGGUCCCUGGACUCCCUCAUAGCAGGUCAUGAUGGCUGAAACAGAAUCCAUCACUUGAGCAGGGCAAUUUCCUUUUCAAAGUCACCACUUUAUUGGGCAGGGAUUUGUUUCAUGCUUGCUGGCUCUUUAGCAGUCAUUUUCACCAAUGAUACUAUUACUCAUAAAGAAAAGAUAAAUUCACUGUCCUUCAAAUCACUUAAAAAAAGAGAAAAGAAAAAAAAAACAAAAGUGGGAAAAUGGACUGUAAUGGCCUCUUAGCAAAGUAGUAGUAAGAGACAAAUUCUUUGGAGCAAAUAGUUUCUCAUAAGAAAUCAAUUAUGACAUUGACAAGGUAGAUUUAUCAGUAAUUUCCAGCAGUUCUUAUAUAAGGAUCAGAUUGUCCCAUUAUCUAUUAAUUCUGUUUUUGGUUCUUGAGGUUGCGUUAUGAGACUCCUCUUCUCCAGAAAUAAAACUUCAAUCAGGCAUCUCUCUUCAUGAGGCCUUGUGUUGGCGGUUGUCAAGAGACACAAAAAGGCGUGAGGUAGCAUUCCUAUAUUCGGUGGUGGCACUUAUCUGGAUUUUGAAGCCAGCUCCAGGAGCCUGGUAAUUACCACGGAACCAGGCAGCAGAGGGAGCAGAUAAACUCAAAACAUUGAGUUUUCUGGGUGACAGGGAGCCAGGAGUUCUGAAGCCCUAAAAAUAUCUUUUAUCGUGGAGAACCCGUGCUUCUAUUUGAUGAUGAUAGUGGGGUGAGUAUAAUUUUAGUAUUUAAAACUCUUAAAGGAGUCUUUACAGGCCAGCAUGUUUCUUCUGCUCUAUGACAAUGCAAAGACUUAUAAACUGUGGCAAAACCAUGUUGGCAUAACUGUGUUGGCUGGAAUCCAGCUGGCAUUGUAGCUUUCAAGGCGUUUUGGAGGUUCUAUGAGGUGGUUUAAACCAAAGCCACAAAAAUGAGAAAAAAUUUAUUUUCAGAUGAAUUUUAGUACACUGCCAACUCCUGGUACUUGUGUGCUAAAGAUGCAAAUUUUUUUUUCUAUUUUAACAAAUUAAGUGGUUUAAAAAUAUUCUGCCUCAUGAUUCAUGAGAUUUCAAGUUCAACUAAUUUUUUUUUUCUUUGCUGAAGGAGAUUCGCCCUGAGCUAGCAUCAGCUGCCAAUCUUCCUCUUUUUAUAUGUGAGCUGCCACCACAGCAUGGCCACUAACAGACGUGUGGUGUGGGUCCACGCCCAGGAACCGAACACAGGCUGCUAAAGUGGAGCACACUGAAGUUAACCACUAGGCCAAGGGGGCUGGCCUGAGGUUCAAUAAUUUUUAAUAAGUGCAAAAUAUGUACCAGCUCACACACACUCCCUGGUCUCAUGGAAUUUACGGCGUAGAUGAGAAGAUCAACAUUAAAGUCUAGCUGAUGAUACUGAUGAAUGCAUAACUAUACACAGAGUAGUGCUCUGAAGAAAGGAAUGCUGCACUACAAAAGGACACGAUGAAAGAGCCCGACCUUGACUGGGGAUCAGGGAAAGCUUCUUCGAGGAAGCAAUCCUUGAGCUGAGAACCGAUUUAAAGAAGACGGAAGUGACCAUAUGCCAGUUCAGAGUGGGACUUCAAGAAGCAUGGAGUAACAGAUGAAGAACGCUCCGCCUUCCUGGAGGUUCCUGUCAAAGCAGACAUUCCUGUCAUAAGCCUUAUAAAGGACAACUAAACAAGCAUUAAACAAAUGCAAGAGUCAAGAGGAAGCAGAGUAUGCCUGUGGGUCCUUGCAGGUGUCUGACAUGAUGCAGACAGGCACUCUGGGUAAUGACAUUUGCCCCUGUGGAUCCAGAU